GCUUAGCCCUAAACACAGAUAAUUACAUAAACAAAAUUAUUUGCCAGGAGUACCUAC
RNAcentral lists this ribosomal RNA (57 nucleotides) under Chordata environmental sample. Its description in RNAcentral is "partial 12S ribosomal RNA". Lineage: Eukaryota; Metazoa; Chordata. The record is from RNAcentral.